GCUGAGAUGGCCUAGUGGUUAAGGCAUUGGAUUCAAAAUCCAAUGUGUUUUACCUGUACAGGUUCAAAUCCCGUUCACAGUG
Molecule: transfer RNA, 82 nt
Filed under: Xenopus laevis (African clawed frog)
Lineage: Eukaryota; Metazoa; Chordata; Amphibia; Anura; Pipidae
Rfam family: tRNA
About the family: Transfer RNA (tRNA) molecules are approximately 80 nucleotides in length. Their secondary structure includes four short double-helical elements and three loops (D, anti-codon, and T loops).
Source: Rfam by way of RNAcentral